This is a long non-coding RNA of Bos taurus (domestic cattle), 1670 nucleotides long. The record is from Ensembl. Lineage: Eukaryota; Metazoa; Chordata; Mammalia; Artiodactyla; Bovidae.
AAAGAUAAAUUAUAGACACAUUAAGAUGUUUGGGUUUGAAAAAUGACAUGAAGUUUGAAAAUACUGGGCCAUUGACAAAUGGUCCAUAAUACAUGUAUUUUGUAUAUAUGCUUAUGAAUAUUAUUUUCAUUAUUUCUGGUGUAAUCAUAGAUUUAAUAAGCAUACCUUUUGAAUCAGAUUUGAAAUAAAAUAUCAACCCACUCCAGUGUUCUUGCCUGGAGAAUCCCAGGGACGGGGGAACCUGGUGGGCUGCCGUCUAUGGGGUCGCACAGAGUCGGACACGACUGAAGCGACUUAGCAGCAGCAGUAGCAGCUACUAACAGUCUGGAGAAGGAAAUGGCAACCCACUCCAGUGUUCUUGCCUGGAGAAUCCCAGGGACGGGGGAGCCUGGUGGGCUGCUGUCUCUGGGGUCGCACAGAGUCGGACACGACUGAAGCGACUUAGCAGCAGUAGCAGCAGCAUCUUUAUUCUUACUGGAUAAGUCUAUGGAUUGACUUUAUUACCCAGUAUAGAUACUGUUUUCCUUUGAGUCACCCUUCUCUCAUUAAACAGUCCUGCCUUGGUGUUCUGUGUCUUUUCCCUUUUAUUUUUAAUCACGAUUAAUCUUCACAGCUGCUUAGUUAUAUAAUAAUAUCCUGUGUUUAAACACAGGCCUACAGAUUGAAUUUCUCAGAGAGCAAGUUCAAGAUCUUUUUAAAACCACAAGAUCUCUUUUAUGGGUGCUACAAAGAUUCUUUAGGAGCGCAGCAUUAAUGAUUUGAGAAGCUAUUUCAUCUAUUUUACAUUUGUUGCUUGUUUCAGUGAUUUUUAUCCUGUGUUAAUCUUGUAAGUGGGCUAAUAAGCUGAGAAAGUUUUCAUUUAACAUACAGACACCUGCUCUAUUCCUUUCUUGAAAGCUGUUCAAUGUAGUUGUUAAAUCUGCUUGAAUCUCAGUUUGGAGGAGUGUAUAAUACUCUCUUUACUGAACGAUCAUUUUCUAAAUUAAUGUAUUUAUUUUCUUCUUAUGCAAGUAACCUACAUGUGUUCAUUACAGAAAUCUUGGGGGGUGGAAAUAAUGCAAAAGCAUAAAGGAAAAACAUUUUUAAAAUCAACUCGAGGGCUCCCCUGCUGUCUCAGUGGUAGAGUCCACCUGCUGAUGCAGGAGACAAGGGUUCGAUCCCUGAUCUGGGCAGAUCCCACGUGCUGCAGAGGAACUAAACUGGUAUACCACGAGUAUUGAGCCUGUGCUCUGGACACCAGGAGCUGCAACUGCUGAGCCCAUAUGCCACAACUGCUGAAGCCUGUGCACCCUAGACCCAGUGCUUUGCAACAAGAAAAGCUGCCACAGUGAGCAGCCCACACACUGCAACUGGAGAAAGCCCAAGUGGCAGUGAAGAUCCAGCACAGCCAAAAACAAAUCAUAAAAUCAAUUCUGAUUGUACCAGGAGGAUUCUUUACACUGAGCCACCUGGGAAGCCUCACAUUUAGGUCCAUGUGGAACGAAUUUGAAGCAGGAUGUGAGGAACAUAUCCAAGUGAACUGAUAGCAUCAGCCGUCUUGAGCAUAUACUCAAUUUCUAUCUGUAUUUGAAUCUGAAGUGUUAUUUUAAAUGUUAGAGGAGGUCACUUUUUGAAGAUGUUCUCAUAACUCCUUUUUAUUAAAAAUAAAAGGCUUGAGGAGUGAGUGGUUA